GAAAGGCAACUUAUUGGACUAAGUAUUGGCAUGUGUCUGUGUGGCCCACACAGGUAAUGGCUCUGCUGAGCCUUGCUGGUGUGUCUGAGUCACUCUGUGUGGGUGUAACGCUGCUCUGGUUAUUAAUCUCUCUGAAGCCUCUUUGCAGUGAUUAAGGGAGCACUGUAUGAAAGCAGUCUGCUGUGUGGGCUCUCACCAAGGAAGACCCACUAAGUGGAUUUUGCCGGAUCCUUUAGCCAAACUGCUCUUUUCUUGGCAACUGCAGUGUGCAUCAACAUAAAUGUAAAGUCAAUUUCCAGUGUAUUUUUAAUGUCCUUUAUUCAUGUUUUUUGGACACUGCACAAACCACUAAAACGAAACCACAGUACUUAAUGUAGCCAGUCACUUUUCUGAUGUGCCAGCGUGUAUAAAUAAGCCUGAGCAGGAGACGAGCUCACAUUUAAAAGACAGAAAGAGAAAGCAUGCAUGUUCUUACUAGCGAUCGCGUUUGAGUGAAGAGGAGACUUCAGCAGUCCUCUUGAGAGAGAUGAGCAAGGAGCAGAGCUGGACCCCCAGCUGACAGCCGUAAUAGUCCAAGAAGUGGCCAGGGAUCUGGGCUGCAAGGGCAGCUUUUUCUCCAAGUUGACUGCUAAGGACUGGGUUUUUGGGGAGCAGAAGAACUGAGCUCUCACCAAGUUUGCUGUGGAGAUGAGAUCAUAUGGAAGUGGCCUGCAGAAACACAGAAGACCAGCACAAGAUCCAGGAGCCAUUUUGAUCUCUGUGAUGAUCAACACAAAGAACACAACAUCUCAUCCAGCAUCAUCAGAAGCACUAAACCAGACAGAGUUCCCCAUCAGCCCAUACCAAGUCACCUCAGACAAGGCUGAACAAAAGGUCUGCACUGGGGUCGCAGGUGGGGGGAACAUUUAUUUGUCUCUCCAUGUUUUGAAAGAACAGGAUGAAAUUUUUGACAGAAGGAAAUAUUCCUGACCUUAAAAAAAAAAAGAGAACUUAAUAUAGUUUGGCCUACAACUACAUUUUGGCUACAUUUUUGUAAGAAACUUGACAUCUCAAAUGUAAAUUUGCAUUUUGGUUUUACUCUUGAAAAAGACUUGUCUUUGAAAAAUGCUUAUAGCUUUGUUUCCUGAGGAAAUAAGAUUUAUAGUCAUGCUGCGUCCAUAUCGGUUUGUGUCUGCUUACAUCUUCUUUUCUGAAAUUUUGAAUCUCUAGCCUGAGCUCAGCCAAAUUUGACAAAGAUACAGUCCUUAGAAAUAAGGAAGCCUCCACAGAUUUCUUGACUGUCUUCAGAAGAGCCUUGGAUGGCUGUGCAGAAAGUAUAAGAUCCUGUCAGUGCUUCUGGGAAGAGGCAGCAGUGUGAGUUCUCCUAUUAUACAUCAAAGAGCUCACAUGAGAAACGGACAUUAUAAAUGUUCCAGCAUUUAGAGAUUUUCCAUCAGAGCUCUAAACAACCAUGCAUUCAAACCCAUACGAAAGCAGCCACACUAAAUCUACAGCUUACAGAACUGCUUUUCCCCUCUUCAUCAUACUUCUUUGCUUUUUAUCCCUAAAUGUAUUACCAAAAUGAAAGGCACAUGACAUUUUCUUUUCUCAAGUUUCAUUUCUUUCUCUAUUCAUAGUUUUUUGAAACUCCCUCCAGCCAGGGACAAGUUUCCAAAUGGAAGAAGGAAGCAUGAAAAUCUGUAACUGAUGCUUGCUAACUUUUUCAAAAG
Molecule: long non-coding RNA, 1709 nt
Organism: Numida meleagris (helmeted guineafowl)
Lineage: Eukaryota; Metazoa; Chordata; Aves; Galliformes; Numididae
Source: Ensembl